GUGAGGAAUUUUCCGCAAUGGGCGAAAGCCUGACGGAGCAAUGCCGCGUGAAGGAUGAAGGCCUAUGGGUUGUAAACUUCUUUUCUUAGAGAAGAAUAUUGACGGUAUCUGAGGAAUAAGCAUCGGCUAACUCUGUGCCAGCAGCCGCGGUAAGACAGAGGAUGAAAGCGUUAUCUGGAAUGAUUGGGCGUAAAGCGUCUGUAGGUGGCUUCAAAAGUCUCCUGUCAAAGAUCAGGGCUUAACCCUGGGCCGGCAGGAGAAACUCUGAGGCUAGAGUUUGGUAGGGGCAGAGGGAAUUCCCGGUGGAGCGGUGAAAUGCGUAGAGAUCGGGAGGAACACCAAAGGCGAAAGCACUCUGCUGGGCCACAACUGACACUGAGAGACGAAAGCGAGGGGAGCAAAAGGGAUUAGAAACCCCAGUAGUCC
RNAcentral lists this ribosomal RNA (426 nucleotides) under uncultured bacterium. RNAcentral's name for it is "partial 16S ribosomal RNA". It matches the Rfam family "Bacterial small subunit ribosomal RNA", at positions 354 to 796 of the family's 1533-position model. The record is from RNAcentral.